GAAAUGCGAUAAUUAAUGUGAAUUGCAGAAUUCAGUGAAUCAUCGAGUCUUUAAACGCACAUUGCGCCCCCUGGUAUUCCGGGGGGCAUGCCUGUCCGAGCGUCAUUGCUGCCCUCAAGCACGGCUUGUGUGUUGGGCUUCCGUCCCUGGCAACGGGGACGGGCCCAAAAGGCAGUGGCGGCACCAUGUCUGGUCCUCGAGCGUAUGGGGCUUUGUCACCCGCUCCCGUAGGUCCAGCUGGCAGCUAGCCUCGCAACCAAUCUUUUUAACCAGGUUGACCUCGGAUCAGGUAGGGAUACCCGCUGAACUUAAGC
RNAcentral lists this unclassified non-coding RNA (314 nucleotides) under plant metagenome. RNAcentral's name for it is "partial contains 5.8S ribosomal RNA, internal transcribed spacer 2, and large subunit ribosomal RNA". The stretch from base 1 to 105 matches the Rfam family "5.8S ribosomal RNA", at positions 50 to 154 of the family's 154-position model. The record is from RNAcentral.